Molecule: ribosomal RNA, 1273 nt
Filed under: metagenome
Description: bacterial LSU rRNA
Rfam family: Bacterial large subunit ribosomal RNA
Source: RNAcentral
AGGUGCCCGUACCGCAAACCGACACAGGUAGGUAGGAAGAAGAUUCUAAGGCCAACGGGAGAAGGGUUGUUAAGGAACUCGGCAAAUUGACCCCGUAACUUCGGGAGAAGGGGUGCUCCAGAGAUGGAGCCGCAGAGAAUCGGCCCAAGCAACUGUUUACCAAAAACACAGGUUUGUGCUAAAUCGAAAGAUGACGUAUACGAGCUGACGCCUGCCCGGUGCUGGAAGGUUAAGAGGAGAUGUGCAAGCAUUGAAUCGAAGCCCCAGUGAACGGCGGCCGUAACUAUAACGGUCCUAAGGUAGCGAAAUUCCUUGUCAGGUAAGUUCUGACCCGCAUGAAAGGCGUAAUGAUUUGGGCACUGUCUCAACAGCCCGCCCGGCGAAAUUGUAGUACCGGUGAAGAUGCCGGUUACCCGCGACAAGACGGAAAGACCCCAUGGAGCUUUACUGUAGCCUAAUAUUGGGUUUCGAUGUUGCAUGCACAGGAUAGAUGGGACACUGGGAAGCAGGUGCUUUGGCGCUUGUGGAGUGGCCGUUGGGAUACCAUCCUUGCGAUAUUGGAAUUCUAACCUGCGGCUCUGAAUCGAGUCGGGGGACAUUGUUAGGUGGGCAGUUUGACUGGGGCGGUCGCCUCCUAAAGAGUAACGGAGGCGUUCAAAGGUUCGCUCAGCUUGAACGGAAAUCAAGCAAAAGAGUGCAAACGCAGAAGCGAGCCUAACUGCGAGACUGACGGGUCGAGCAGUAACGAAAGUUGGAGUUAGUGAUCCGGUGGUAUGUGAGUGGAAAUGCCAUCGCUCAACGGAUAAAAGUUACCCUGGGGAUAACAGGCUGAUCUCCCCCAAGAGUCCACAUCGACGGGGAGGUUUGGCACCUCGAUGUCGGCUCAUCGCAUCCUGGGGCUGUAUUCGGUCCCAAGGGUUUGGCUGUUCGCCAAUUAAAGCGGUACGCGAGCUGGGUUCAGAACGUCGUGAGACAGUUCGGUCCCUAUCUGUCGUGGGCGCAGGAUAUUUGAUGGGAGCUGUCCCUAGUACGAGAGGACCGGGACGGACGUACCUCUGGCGCACCAGUUGUUCCGCCAGGAGCAUAGCUGGGCAACUACGUACGGAUCGGAUAAACGCUGAAAGCAUCUAAGCGUGAAGCCGACCCAAAGAUAAGAUAUCCCAUUGUUUCAAACAAGUAAGACCCCUUGAAGACUACAAGGUUGAUAGGCACGAUGUGUAAGUGGAGCGAUCCAUUCAGCAAGCGUGUACUAAUAGGUCGAGGGCUUGACCAC